CUAUAGCAAGGCCUCCUUACCUAUUUCCAAAUCUAAAAGGCAAAAGCUGUCUUUUCCCAGUCAACUGGAAGUUCAGACAUGGCUUAUCCUCAAGAGAUCUAUUUCUAAAAAUGUGAGAGACAAAAAUGUGUUGGGAGUGUGAAGAAGUGGUGGAAAGAGUUCCUCGAAGAAGUGAUGAUUGGGCUGAAAUCUGGAGGCUGAACAGAAUUUCCCAGGAAGAAGUAGAGUGGGUCCCUGCUGGAGUUCUGAAAGGGUCCAGAAUCAAAGCACUUCCAGAGAAGGUGAAGUGGAUGAUUAUGACUGGCCAUUCCAAGUCAUAAUCAGAAAAAGAGGCUGGUUCCUUUUCCAGUGAAUGAGCACUACAUUCACUCCAUCACAUUGACUCAAGCUGGGUUUUAAAGCUGGGAUCAGGGGAUGAAUCAAGUCAACCCGACUUGUCCUGAUAUGUCCAUGUGACACUACCAUGAAAACUUUCCUUCAUGGGCAGAAAAUAAUACCAAUAAAUAUUCUCUAGUUCUUUAUGAGUUUACAUUUAGCAAAAUGAAUUUUUAUCAUAAAAUCAUUACUUUUAUACAUGCUCAGAAAGAAUGAAAAAAGACAUAGAAAUCAGAAACAUAUAAAAGGAAAUUAAAGUUAAAAAAUACACACAUGGUGGCUACCUAAAUCAACUACAUUAUCACUUACGUGUAUCUUUUCAGAAUUAUUUUUUAAUUUGUUCUGGAAGGUGGAAUAGUAUUGGAAAGUGUCUUAGCUUGACAGUACUUUUUUUAAAGAAGAUUUUAUUUAUUUGAGAGAGAAUUAGCAGGACAGGGAAAGAGAAUCGAGAGAAAGAAGGUGAAGCAGAGUGCACUGAGCAAAGAGCCUGAAGGGGGCUCAAUCCCACUACCAGGAGAUCAUGACCUGAGUCAAAACCAAGAGUCAGAGACCUAACUGGCUAAGCGACUGUGGUGCCCCUAACUUGACAGUAUUGAAAAGAACCCUGCUUCUAGCAACAAGCAAAAAUCUACAUCAUAAUUCAUUCCUUGGGAGGAAAAGCACCUGAGUGAGGGGUCCCACUCUCAAGUCAGCCAAGGUGCAAGGUCUUGGCAACCUCAGUGCCUCAUUCCAUGGCAUAUCCUUGGGGCUCGUCCCUCCCCAGAGCUGCAAGCUAAGAAUUCACCUCAGGAGACCACGGUAUUUGUUCUGGAGCCUUUCCCCUAAAGAACAGCCUCAAGUACGUACAUAACAGGCUGGUACCGUUGUUUGUUUCUAGAUUUAUUGAGAUAUGAUUGCAUGUAACAUUGUGUAAUUUUAAAGCUGUACGGCAUGAUGAUAACAUGUUUAUAUUGUGAAAUGAUUAUGACUAGAGGUUAGUUAACAUCUGACCUGCAUCACAUCAUGUAAUUACCCUUUCCAUGUGUGUGGUGAGAACUUUUAAAAUUUACUCUUAGUGAAAGAAGUCAAUCAGAGAAGGACAAACAUUAUAUGGUCUCAUUCAUUUGGGGAAGAUAAAAAAUAGUGAA
Long non-coding RNA from Canis lupus familiaris (dog), 1502 nucleotides. RefSeq lists it as uncharacterized. NCBI's taxonomy places the organism in Eukaryota, Metazoa, Chordata, Mammalia, Carnivora, Canidae. The transcript is spliced from 3 exons. The record is from RefSeq and is a predicted model, not a curated record.